RNAcentral lists this ribosomal RNA (254 nucleotides) under uncultured bacterium. Its description in RNAcentral is "partial 16S ribosomal RNA". It matches the Rfam family "Bacterial small subunit ribosomal RNA", at positions 524 to 777 of the family's 1533-position model. The record is from RNAcentral.
UACGAAGGGUGCAAGCGUUACUCGGAAUUACUGGGCGUAAAGCGUGCGUAGGCGGUUCACUAAGUCGGGUGUGAAACCUCCAGGCUCAACCUGGAGACGCCACCUGAUACUGGUGUGACUUGAGUACUGCAGGGGAGACUGGAAUUCCUGGUGUAGCGGUGGAAUGCGCAGAUAUCAGGAGGAACACCGGUGGCGAAGGCGGGUCUCUGGACAGUUCCUACGCUGAGGCACGAAGGUCAGGGGAGCAAACGGGG